AGCAGCCGCGGUAAUUCCAGCUCCAAUAGCGUAUAUUAAAGUUGUUGCAGUUAAAAAGCUCGUAGUUGAAUUUCGGGAUUAAUGCGUCGGUCGUGCCUUCGGUACGUACUAGCGUCAUUGAUUCCUCCCUUCUGAAGAACCGUGAUGUCAUUAAUUUGGUGUUACGGGGAAUCAGGACUGUUACCUUGAAAAAUUAGAGUGUUUAAAGCAGGCUAACGCUUGAAUACAUUAGCAUGGAAUAAUGAAAUAGGACGUUCGAACCUAUUUUGUUGGUUUCUAGGAUCGACGUAAUGAUUAAUAGGGAUAGUUGGGGGCAUUAGUAUUCAAUUGUCAGAGGUGAAAUUCUUGGAUUUAUUGAAGACUGACUACUGCGAAAGCAUUUGCCAAGGAUGUUUCAUUAAUCAAGAACGAAAGUUAGGGGAUCGAAGACGAUCAGAUACCGUCGUAGUCUUAACCAUAAACUAUGCCGACUAGGGAUCGGAUGGAUGUUAAUUUUUUAAUGUACUCA
This 508-nucleotide ribosomal RNA is filed under the name uncultured Glomeraceae. RNAcentral describes it as "SSU rRNA". It matches the Rfam family "Eukaryotic small subunit ribosomal RNA", at positions 569 to 1082 of the family's 1831-position model. The record is from RNAcentral. Lineage: Eukaryota; Fungi; Glomeromycota; Glomeromycetes; Glomerales; Glomeraceae.